GUUGGAAACAGUGGCUAAGACUGGAUAGGAAGAAAUAAGGCAUCUUAUUUCUUUUAAAAGACCUAGUAAUAGGUAUACUUUAGGAGGGGCUUGCGCCAUAUUAGUUAGUUGGUAGGGUAAUGGCCUACCAAGACGAUGAUGUGUAGCUGGACUGAGAGGUUGAACAGCCACAUUGGGACUGAGACACGGCCCAAACUCCUACGGGAGGCAGCAGUAAGGAAUUUUCGGCAAUGGAGGAAACUCUGACCGAGCAACGCCGCGUGAACGACGAAGUACUUUGGUAUGUAAAGUUCUUUUAUCAAGGAAGAAAAGCAAGUGGCGAACCAUUUGUUUGCCGGUACUUGAUGAAUAAGCCCCGGCUAAUUAUGUGCCAGCAGCCGCGGUAAGACAUAAGGGGCAAGUGUUAUCCGGAAUUAUUGGGCGUAAAGGGUGCGUAGGCGGUCUAGUAAGUCAGUGGUGUAAUGGCAACGCUCAACGUUGUCCGGCUAUUGAAACUGCUAAACUUGAGUUAGAUAGAGGCGAGUGGAAUUCCAUGUGUAGCGGUAAAAUGCGUAAAUAUAUGGAGGAACACCAGAGGCGUAGGCGGCUCGCUGGGUCUUAACUGACGCUGAGGCACGAAAGCGUGGGGAGCAAACAGGAUUAGAUACCCUGGUAGUCCACGCCGUAAACGAUGAGUACUAAGUGUCGGGUUAAACCGGUACUGAAGUUAACACAUUAAGUACUCCGCCUGAGUAGUACGUACGCAAGUAUGAAACUUAAAGGAAUUGACGGGACUCCGCACAAGCGGUGGAUCAUGUUGUUUAAUUCGAAGAUACCCGAAAAACCUUACCAGGUCUUGACAUGUUUUUGCGAAACGGUAGUAAUAUCGUAGAGGUUAUCAGAAACACAGGUGGUGCAUGGUUGUCGUCAGCUCGUGUCGUGAGAUGUUAGGUUAAGUCCUAAAACGAGCGAAACCCUUAUCGUUAGUUGCCAGCACGUUAUGGUGGGGACUUUAACGAGACUGCCAGUGAUAAACUGGAGGAAGGUGAGGAUCACGUCAAAUCAGCAUGCCCCUUAUGACCUGGGCUACAAACGUGAUACAAUGGCUGUUACAAAGGGUAGCUGAAACGUAAGUUCUUGGCCAAUCCCCAAAAACAGUCUCAGUCCGGAUUGAAGUCUGCAACUCGACUUCAUGAAGUUGGAAUCGCUAGUAAUCGCGAAUCAGCAUGUCGCGGUGAAUACGUUCUCGGGGUUUGUACACACCGCCCGUCAAA
This 1253-nucleotide ribosomal RNA is filed under the name Candidatus Phytoplasma asiaticum. RNAcentral's name for it is "bacterial SSU rRNA". It matches the Rfam family "Bacterial small subunit ribosomal RNA", at positions 149 to 1401 of the family's 1533-position model. The record is from RNAcentral. Lineage: Bacteria; Bacillati; Mycoplasmatota; Mollicutes; Acholeplasmatales; Acholeplasmataceae.